RNAcentral lists this unclassified non-coding RNA (671 nucleotides) under Hevea brasiliensis (rubber tree). Lineage: Eukaryota; Viridiplantae; Streptophyta; Magnoliopsida; Malpighiales; Euphorbiaceae. The record is from RNAcentral.
AAGCCUCUCGUUUCGUUAGAGACUGCCCAUAAUUAUAUCCCCAGUUAGUUCAAACUUAAAGUAAUGCAAAAUGUAAUAACUUGUUAGCCGUCCAGCACACCAAUCAGACAUACAUAAUCAACUCUCAAAACUGUAGGAAUAUGCAAUACAAACCCAAUCAAAUAAAGAUUAACAAAAAGUGAAGCAAACAGCUAGCAAAAUCAAUUUAUGCAAAACUUUUAUGAACAUAAACAAGAACCCUCUUUUAUCAGUUUGUGAAAACUUGUAUGCAACUGCAAACCGGAAGUACGUUGUACUAACCAGCUUGGUGAAGACAGAAAAUUUGAAUCACCUUGAUAUCAUGUCUGCUAAUAUUUGCUUAAAAUAUUUUGCUUCCUGGUUCCUUUAUGUGGAGCUAUUGCUUUGGCAUUCCAUCUAUUCAUGCAAUCUUGUCUACUUUACUAACAACUAGGAAGGAUGAUAAACAAAAAAGGAUUUGUAACCCCAACAUGAAAUCAUCUAAGAAACUAAAAAGAUAUGCAAGAAACUAAAGCAAUUAAAUGCUCCAUGGACAACUUACAUUAAAAGCUUUCUGAAAGAUUAAACCAAGCAAAAGUUAGCAUCUCAAUAACAGUUAUAAUGCAAAAUAGGAAGCUUAGAAUUUUAUCUAGGAAUUUUAAUUAUUAUAAAAU